Sinocyclocheilus grahami is the source of this 482-nucleotide long non-coding RNA. RefSeq lists it as uncharacterized. The record is from RefSeq and is a predicted model, not a curated record. Lineage: Eukaryota; Metazoa; Chordata; Actinopteri; Cypriniformes; Cyprinidae. The transcript has 2 exons.
UCAUUCAAGGGAUGGUCGGAGUGCAGAUGAACAGUUGUUCACACUGACGCAGGGGAGGAGAACGGCUGCGGAAUAUGCUUUGUCUUUUCGUACGCUCGCCGCACAAACAACAUGGACCGAGGAUCCUCUGAAGGUACACUUCAGGAGAGGUUUAAGUCCCGAAUUACAGACGGAACUAGCAUGCCGAGAUGAGGGGAGAACUUUAAAUCAGUUUAUGGAGCUCUCUAUUCAGAUUGACAAUCUUCUCAGAUCACGACGCCCCUCAACAAGAACAACUACUAGGACUGUUUCUGACACCCACGAACCCAUGCAGGUCGACACCUAUCACCUCUCGCCUGAGGAGAGAGAUCGUCGCAUUAAUCACCGUCUCUCCCUCUAUUGUGGUGAGCCAGGCCACAUGAGACUGUCUUGCCCCUCUCGCUCUCGCAGAGACCCCACUACUCGGUUGAGGCGGUCGACGGACGACCACUGGGCACAGGAAA